This 445-nucleotide ribosomal RNA is filed under the name uncultured bacterium. Its description in RNAcentral is "partial 16S ribosomal RNA". It matches the Rfam family "Bacterial small subunit ribosomal RNA", at positions 354 to 796 of the family's 1533-position model. The record is from RNAcentral.
GUGAGGAAUAUUGGACAAUGGGCGCAAGCCUGAUCCAGCCAUGCCGCGUGCAGGAAGACGCAUCUAUGGUGUGUAAACUGCUUUUGUACGGGAAGAAACACUCCCUCGUGAGGGAGCUUGACGGUACCGUAAGAAUAAGGAUCGGCUAACUCCGUGCCAGCAGCCGCGGUAAUACGGAGGAUCCAAGCGUUAUACGGAAUCAUUGGGUUUAAAGGGUCCGUAGGCGGUUUAAUAAGUGAGUGGUGAAAGCCCAUCGCUCAACGAUGGGACGGCCAUUGAUACUGUUAGACUUGAAUUACAAGGAAGUAACUAGAAUAUGUAGUGUAGCGGUGAAAUGCUUAGAUAUUACAUGGAAUACCAAUUGCGAAGGCAGGUUACUACUUGUGGAUUGACGCUGAUGGACGAAAGCGUGGGGAGCGAACAGGAUUAGAAACCCCAGUAGUCC